AUGAUUCCUCCUAUCAUUCUCAACUCAUCAUUGUUCACCAUCAUUCUUAUCCCGUCAACGACUCUACUUUAUGAACAUCCCAUAUUCGCUCAACUCUGCUUCAGUUUUGUUCAUCUCUGUUCUUAUCACGAAUCAACCGUCUUUGUUAAACACCAUUCAUUUCGAUCACGGUCUUUGUUUUGUUCACAACAACGUGAUUUCACUCUUCAAUCUCUAUCGUGA
Molecule: non-coding RNA, 222 nt
Organism: Vicia faba (fava bean)
Lineage: Eukaryota; Viridiplantae; Streptophyta; Magnoliopsida; Fabales; Fabaceae
Source: the annotation of a GenBank genome assembly